UUUUGAACUUUCCAGUCUGGGGAUGUAUGCAGUUCAGGAGAAGAAGGACAAAAUGAUUCUCUGGAAAGCAGAUCCAAUUUUAGAAUUACUUCCCUAGGGACCUCAGCCUGGAUGGUGGAGGAGAAGCUGGAGUGCUGGAAUGGUCCCAAGGCAUACAUGGGAUUGGGAUAUGCAGAACAAACUCCUGCCAGUGCUGAAUAGUGUGCUGACUUGCAUAAACUCUUGAGGACUCCGUAGGUCCAGCUUCAAGUUUGUCAAGAUUCUUGUCAAGACUCAUACUGAAGCCCCAGAGUUUGGCAUUUCUCGGCAACAUGUGGGGAUAAAUUCCAUUAUUCCUUCUUUUGGUUUCGUAUCAUAAGGUUUUCUUUCGAGCCCAGUGAAAGAGAAACAUCAGAUCAGAGGAGAGCAAUUUUUUGCUGAUCAGCACAAGAAUUGUUCCAGACUACAGGCUGUUGAUUAAAGCAUUAAUUUAGAAUUGAAAGUGAAUCUGGAUGUAUAAACUUCCUUGAUCUGAAAAGGUCAACAGUCUGGGACUACUGCAUUCUGACAGAGCUUCCUAUCCAUCUGGCUACUGUGUAAUAUGGCAGUGUCCUCUCGGGGAACUAUAUUCUAAAAUAAGAUUCAAAAGAAAUGAGAAGGUGGCUUUCCAGAAUUUAGAAGAUAUGAAAUUAUUCUCUCUGAAGAUGAUGAAAAUUUUAAAAGGAAAUUUUCAUAUUUCCCUGAUAAAUGCUACAAGCAGCAAGCAAUUGUGAAGUAUCUGACCUGCACUGCAAGCUAAAUGAUCAGGUUCAUAACUGACUUUUCAGCGUGCUCUUGGAGAUCUAGGUGCCUGUUCAGUUGUGCAUUACUCACAGCAGAACACCAGCUAACAUAUUGAUAACCUUAUAUCCUCAAAAAAAUACCUCUAAAAAUGUGUGAAAGCAUUCAAGAUGUCAGUUAAUCUUUUAGAUGUCUAUAUGCCUAGGAACUGCUAUAAAAGAGUAAGCAGGUAUGGAAGAGUUGCUCAGAAUUUAAGUAGGACUUCAGGUGCCCUUAAUAAGAUUUCAGCAGAACCAGCACCAUUGAGAAACUCAAUAAUUUACUUCAAAGCAAGUACAUUAAUAGAGGAGAUGAGAUUAUCUUUUAGAUGAAGCAUACCUAAAUCAUACCUUACAUUGAAAAGAUAGGUAAAAAAAGGCAGAAAUAAAGAAGGAAUGAUGCAGCCCUAGGAAAAAAGGAUGGUGAUUUUAUGCAUAUUUUAAUGUUUUUUUCAUCUGCCUAUGACUCUCUAUAGCUGCAAAUUUUUAUAAUUUUUUCUUUCAUCUUUCAUUUGAUUAAAAAACAGCAAUAAUGCAUAAGACAAGGUAAAAUGAGACACAUUCUCAAUCACUUAUAUUUUGUUGAGUUAGCUAGAAGAAUGAAUGACAAAAAUUUUAAGGUGUGAAACAUACAUCACUAAACCUACGAAAUACCAAUCUUAUUCAAUAGGUACUUUUCUGAUUAAAAAAAUAAAAUAAAACUGCCACAGUUGUACACCACUCCUGCAUGUGCCUGGAAUUGGUGGAUACACAGAUAAAUAGACACGUUCCCCAAGGUCACUAAAUUCUUGAAUAUCCUAAUAUUCCUUAAGUAUAAACUUAAAAUCAAUGCAAGGUUGAAAAUGUAUUCUGAUGGACCUCAUCCAACUCUAAUUAUCAAUAGUGUGUUCCCUUUGCAAAAAUUGCUCACCUGUUAAAAGCUCCCAAAUGCUAGAAUGUCGGAAAAUGAAAAGUGAUGGAAUCCAGCCUGUUCCCAGCUAAGGUAUAAAUCUUCAUUACUUGGUAGCACAUACCUGACAAAAGCCUCCCCCCCUCCAAAUAUGUAAAGAUGUCCAAAAGUCAAAAUAACAGCCUUGUAGGAGAUUGCUUUGGAUGGAGCCUUUGAUAAGAUACAGUAUUUAUAAUAAAUCUGUGGUUAGAGUAUAAGUUUAAAAUCUAGCCUGUGUGUGCAUAGCACCACUGCAAAAGAAGGACAGGAUCUGACUGACUCCAUCGCUAUCAGCUUCCUCCUCACUUCUGCUCUUGCUCUUAGAGUUCAUUUUGCUCUGUGCUAAUAAGGAUACCUUUAUGUGUCUGCCAGCUCCUAUGCAAGUGAGCAAGAUAAGUAGCCUGCUUAAAAGAAAAUAGUUUCAUGUGUCCCCUUGUUUCCUGCAUUGGCACCCAAUAAAGUUUGGUUCUGAAUUGGUAUUAAUUUAAUGGGCUUGACUUUUCUGUGCUUGGUGGUAAUAUUUACAGGUUAGAGCUCUCCAUUAAUGUCAAUGAAAAGGUAUAAAUAUGUCUUUCACCCUUCAGAAAAAGGAUAUAUGGAAGGAGAAUACUCGUAAUUAACUUCAAUAUGCUGCUUACUCAUAUGAAUAAGAAAAAGAGGGUAAGAGAGAUAAUGUU
Dromaius novaehollandiae (emu) is the source of this 2402-nucleotide long non-coding RNA. RefSeq lists it as uncharacterized. The record is from RefSeq and is a predicted model, not a curated record. The transcript has 6 exons. Lineage: Eukaryota; Metazoa; Chordata; Aves; Casuariiformes; Dromaiidae.